CACUCCUGCGGGAGGCAGCAGUGGGGAAUUUUGGACAAUGGGCGAAAGCCUGAUCCAGCCAUGCCGCGUGCAGGAUGAAGGCCUUCGGGUUGUAAACUGCUUUUGUACGGAACGAAACGGCCUUUUCUAAUAAAGAGGGCUAAUGACGGUACCGUAAGAAUAAGCACCGGCUAACUACGUGCCAGCAGCCGCGGUAAUACGUAGGGUGCAAGCGUUAAUCGGAAUUACUGGGCGUAAAGCGUGCGCAGGCGGUUAUGUAAGACAGUUGUGAAAUCCCCGGGCUCAACCUGGGAACUGCAUCUGUGACUGCAUAGCUAGAGUACGGUAGAGGGGGAUGGAAUUCCGCGUGUAGCAGUGAAAUGCGUAGAUAUGCGGAGGAACACCGAUGGCGAAGGCAAUCCCCUGGACCUGUACUGACGCUCAUGCACGAAAGCGUGGGGAGCAAACAGGAUUAGAUACCCUAGUAGUCCCA
Molecule: ribosomal RNA, 472 nt
Filed under: uncultured organism
Description: partial 16S ribosomal RNA
Rfam family: Bacterial small subunit ribosomal RNA
Source: RNAcentral